RNAcentral lists this ribosomal RNA (247 nucleotides) under uncultured bacterium. RNAcentral describes it as "partial 16S ribosomal RNA". It matches the Rfam family "Bacterial small subunit ribosomal RNA", at positions 15 to 240 of the family's 1533-position model. The record is from RNAcentral.
GAUCCUGGCUCAGGACGAACGCUGGCGGCGUGCCUAACACAUGCAAGUCGAACGGAGAUAUGUUUUUGGAAGGGCUUCGGUCUGGAAGAGAUAUAUUUUAGUGGCGGACGGGUGAGUAACGCGUGGGCAAUCUGCCUUGUAGAAAGGGAUAACAGGCCGAAAGGCUUGCUAAUACCGGAUGAGCUUGUCUAAUCGCAUGAUAAGACAAGGAAAGGGGAAACCCGCUACAAGAUGAGCCUGCGUCCCA